This 182-nucleotide ribosomal RNA is filed under the name uncultured bacterium. Its description in RNAcentral is "partial 16S ribosomal RNA". It matches the Rfam family "Bacterial small subunit ribosomal RNA", at positions 1319 to 1500 of the family's 1533-position model. The record is from RNAcentral.
CAUGAAGCUGGAAUCGCUAGUAAUCGCGGAUCAGAACGCCGCGGUGAAUGCGUUCCCGGGUCUUGUACACACCGCCCGUCACACCAUGGGAGCCGGAAACGCCCGAAGCCAGCGGCCUAACCGCAAGGAGGGCGCUGUCGAAGGUGGGAUUGAUGACUGGGGUGAAGUCGUAACAAGGUAGC